Molecule: ribosomal RNA, 509 nt
Filed under: uncultured bacterium
Lineage: Bacteria
Description: partial 16S ribosomal RNA
Rfam family: Bacterial small subunit ribosomal RNA
Source: RNAcentral
GAUGAACGCUAGCUACAGGCUUAACACAUGCAAGUCGAGGGGAAACGAUAUUGGAAGCUUGCUUCCGAUAGGCGUCGACCGGCGCACGGGUGAGUAACGCGUAUCCAACCUGCCCAUCACUUGGGGAUAACCUUGCGAAAGUAAGACUAAUACCCAAUGACGUCUCUAGAAGACAUCUGAAGGAGAUUAAAGAUUUAUCGGUGAUGGAUGGGGAUGCGUCUGAUUAGCUUGUUGGCGGGGUAACGGCCCACCAAGGCGACGAUCUGUAGGGGUUCUGAGAGGAAGGUCCCCCCACAUUGGAACUGAGACACGGUCCAAACUCCUACGGGAGGCAGCAGUGAGGAAUAUUGGUCAAUGGGCGAGAGCCUGAACCAGCCAAGUAGCGUGCAGGAUGACGGCCCUAUGGGUUGUAAACUGCUUUUAUAAGGGAAUAAAGUGAGUCUCGUGAGACUUUUUGCAUGUACCUUAUGAAUAAGGACCGGCUAAUUCCGUGCCAGCCGCCGCGGUAA